This 482-nucleotide ribosomal RNA is filed under the name uncultured bacterium. RNAcentral's name for it is "partial 16S ribosomal RNA". It matches the Rfam family "Bacterial small subunit ribosomal RNA", at positions 30 to 507 of the family's 1533-position model. The record is from RNAcentral.
AUUGAACGCUGGCGGCAUGCUUUACACAUGCAAGUCGAACGGUAACAGGUCCUCGGAUGCUGACGAGUGGCGAACGGGUGAGUAAUACAUCGGAACGUGCCUAGUAGUGGGGGAUAACUACUCGAAAGAGUAGCUAAUACCGCAUGAGAUCUACGGAUGAAAGCAGGGGACCUUCGGGCCUUGUGCUACUAGAGCGGCUGAUGGCAGAUUAGGUAGUUGGUGGGGUAAAGGCUUACCAAGCCUGCGAUCUGUAGCUGGUCUGAGAGGACGACCAGCCACACUGGGACUGAGACACGGCCCAGACUCCUACGGGAGGCAGCAGUGGGGAAUUUUGGACAAUGGGCGAAAGCCUGAUCCAGCAAUGCCGCGUGCAGGAUGAAGGCCCUCGGGUUGUAAACUGCUUUUGUACGGAACGAAAAGCCUGGGGCUAAUAUCCCCGGGUCAUGACGGUACCGUAAGAAUAAGCACCGGCUAACUACGUG